CGGAGGGUGCAAGCGUUAUCCGGAUUCACUGGGUUUAAAGGGUGUGUAGGCGGGCAGUUAAGUCAGUGGUGAAAUCUCCAGGCUCAACCUGGAAACUGCCAUUGAUACUAUCUGUCUUGAAUUCUGUUGAGGUGGGCGGAAUACAUCAUGUAGCGGUGAAGUGCUUAGAUAUGAUGUAGAACACCGAUUGCGAAGGCAGCUCACUAAGCAGCGAUUGACGCUGAGGCACGAAAGCGUGGGGAUCAAACAGGAUUAGAUACCCUGGUAGUCCACGCCCUAAACGAUGAUUACUCGACAUACGCGAUACACAGUGUGUGUCUGAGCGAAAGCAUUAAGUAAUCCACCUGGGAAGUACGACCGCAAGGUUG
RNAcentral lists this ribosomal RNA (368 nucleotides) under uncultured organism. RNAcentral describes it as "bacterial SSU rRNA". It matches the Rfam family "Bacterial small subunit ribosomal RNA", at positions 526 to 896 of the family's 1533-position model. The record is from RNAcentral.